AGGCUGGGGGAUGUAGCUCAGUGG
Molecule: non-coding RNA, 24 nt
Filed under: Cricetulus griseus (Chinese hamster)
Lineage: Eukaryota; Metazoa; Chordata; Mammalia; Rodentia; Cricetidae
Source: RNAcentral